This 745-nucleotide long non-coding RNA is filed under the name Rattus norvegicus (Norway rat). RNAcentral's name for it is "long non-coding RNA NONRATT027701". Lineage: Eukaryota; Metazoa; Chordata; Mammalia; Rodentia; Muridae. The record is from RNAcentral.
GAGACAGGAGACAGAUACUCAGGUAAACACAGAUUGGCAGCCAUAUCUAAAACAAGCAAAAAGAUCCCAGCUAAGGAUUUAAGUUCCAGAAAACAUGUAGCUACGAUCUUCUCCCGAAGUGAAAGAGGAUCUGGCUUUAGGAGGUUAUCUCUUUGUAGACCAGAGGGCAACCCACUGUCCCCUGAACCUACUGUAAAACCCUCAGAGCCCACAGACAAAAGCAGCGUGAGGACCGUGGACAAAUCUGAGAGCCUUCUCCAGGCGGCCACAGUAUCCAGCCCUGGACCUCCUGGUCAGUCCCGCAGUCAAAAGUCUGCUAACAUUUUGCAACCGCAUCUGAAUGGGUCACACGGUGUCUUAGAAACACCCCCAAAGAGCGAGGACUCUAAAGCACAGAUUGCAGGAGAAUUGGUAGCCCCAGCCAGCCCCUCGGGGAAAAGCUCUGGCCUUCAGCAGAGGUUAAGUCCUCCUUCCCCCCUAGAGGCUACACAGAAACCUACAGUGAGCUCCCACUGUCAGCUGUUGCGGCACACGAGUGCCCCAUCCCCAGACUCAGAACCCGAGCCACACCUCUACAGGUCAAAGAGUUUAAGAAACUUCAACGUGCAAAGGGACCUGUUGUGUACAAGCCCUCCUCCCAAAGCCAGGGGACGCCACUUCUCUGAAAACACUUCCAUUGACAAUGCCCUGAGCCAACUGUCCCUCGAAGAUGGCUCCUUCCCCAACAGCGGGUACAGUCGAAGAU